RNAcentral lists this ribosomal RNA (449 nucleotides) under uncultured bacterium. RNAcentral describes it as "partial 16S ribosomal RNA". It matches the Rfam family "Bacterial small subunit ribosomal RNA", at positions 29 to 523 of the family's 1533-position model. The record is from RNAcentral.
AACGAACGCUGGCGGCAUGCCUAACACAUGCAAGUCGAACGAGAUCUUCGGAUCUAGUGGCGCACGGGUGCGUAACGCGUGGGAAUCUGCCCUUUGGUACGGAAUAACUCAGGGAAACUUGUGCUAAUACCGUAUGAUGUCUUCGGACCAAAGAUUUAUCGCCAAAGGAUGAGCCCGCGUAGGAUUAGCUAGUUGGUGAGGUAAAGGCUCACCAAGGCGACGAUCCUUAGCUGGUCUGAGAGGAUGAUCAGCCACACUGGGACUGAGACACGGCCCAGACUCCUACAGGAGGCAGCAGUGGGGAAUAUUGGACAAUGGGCGCAAGCCUGAUCCAGCAAUGCCGCGUGAGUGACGAAGGCCUUAGGGUUGUAAAGCUCUUUUACCCGGGAAGAUAAUGACUGUACCGGGAGAAUAAGCCCCGGCUAACUCCGUGCCAGCCGCCGCAGUAA